Molecule: ribosomal RNA, 116 nt
Filed under: Labrus bergylta (ballan wrasse)
Lineage: Eukaryota; Metazoa; Chordata; Actinopteri; Labriformes; Labridae
Source: RNAcentral
GCUUACGGCCAUACCACCUGAACACGCCGAUCUCGUCCGAUCUCGGAAGCUAAGCAGGGUCGGGCCUGGUUAGUAUUGGAUGGGAGACCGCCUGGGAAUACCAGGUGCUGUAAGCU